GUGCGGCAGCACAUGUACUAAAAUUGGAAUGAUAUAAAGAAGACUAGCAUGGUCCCUNCGCAAGGAUGAUGUGCACAUUUGUGAAGCGUUCCAUAAUAAA
This 100-nucleotide small nuclear RNA is filed under the name Salvator merianae (Argentine black and white tegu). The record is from RNAcentral. Lineage: Eukaryota; Metazoa; Chordata; Lepidosauria; Squamata; Teiidae.